Molecule: ribosomal RNA, 253 nt
Filed under: uncultured bacterium
Lineage: Bacteria
Description: partial 16S ribosomal RNA
Rfam family: Bacterial small subunit ribosomal RNA
Source: RNAcentral
UACGGAGGGGGCUAGCGUUGUUCGGAAUUACUGGGCGUAAAGCGCACGUAGGCGGCUUUGUAAGUCAGAGGUGAAAGCCCGGAGCUCAACUCCGGAAUAGCCUUUGAGACUGCAUCGCUUGAAUCCAGGAGAGGUGAGUGGAAUUCCGAGUGUAGAGGUGAAAUUCGUAGAUAUUCGGAAGAACACCAGUGGCGAAGGCGGCUCACUGGACUGGUAUUGACGCUGAGGUGCGAAAGCGUGGGGAGCAAACAGG